GCGCAGCAGUCGCGAAACUUUUGCAAUGCGCGCAAGCGUGACAACGUCAUCCCGAGUGCCACCCGCUGAGGGUGGCUUUUCCACAGUCUAAAAAGCUGUGGGAAUAAGGGGAGGGUAAGUCGGGUGUCAGCCGCCGCGGUAAUACCCGCUCCCCGAGUGGUGGGGGCUUUUACUGAGCUUAAAGCGCCCGUAGCCGGUCAUGCGUGUCUCCAGUUAAAUCCAGCAGCCUAACUGCUGGGCCGCUGGAGAUACUGUAUGACUUGGAGGCGGGAGAGGCUACCGGUAGUCCCGGGGUAGGAGUGAAAUCCUCUGAUCCACGGAAGACCACCAGUGGCGAAGGCGGUCCGCCAGGACGCGUCUGACGGUGAGGGAUGAAAGCUGGGGGAGCGAACCGGAAUAGAUACCCGUGUAGUCC
Molecule: ribosomal RNA, 415 nt
Filed under: uncultured Nitrososphaerota archaeon
Lineage: Archaea; Thermoproteati; Nitrososphaerota
Description: uncultured thaumarchaeote partial 16S ribosomal RNA
Rfam family: Archaeal small subunit ribosomal RNA
Source: RNAcentral